AUUGAACGCUGGCGGAAUGCUUUACACAUGCAAGUCGAACGGUAGAGGGGGCAACCCCUCGAGAGUGGCGAACGGGUGAGUAAUAUAUCGGAACGUGCCCAGUCGUGGGGGAUAACGUAGCGAAAGUUACGCUAAUACCGCAUACGAUCUAAGGAUGAAAGCGGGGGAUCGCAAGACCUCGCGCGAUUGGAGCGGCCGAUAGCAGAUUAGGUAGUUGGUGGGGGAAAGGCUCACCAAGCCAACGAUCUGUAGCUGGUGUGAGAGGACGACCAGCCACAAUGGAACUGAGACACGGUCCAGACUCCUACGGGAGGCAGCAGUGGGGAAUUUUGGACAAUGGACGCAAGUCUGAUCCAGCCAUUCCGCGUGCAGGAUGAAGGCCCUCGGGUUGUAAACUGCUUUUGUACGGAACGAAAAGGUCUCUCUUAAUACGGGGGGCUCAUGACGGUACCGUAAGAAUAAGCACCGGCUAACUACGUGCCAGCAGCCGCAGUAA
This 496-nucleotide ribosomal RNA is filed under the name uncultured bacterium. RNAcentral describes it as "partial 16S ribosomal RNA". It matches the Rfam family "Bacterial small subunit ribosomal RNA", at positions 30 to 523 of the family's 1533-position model. The record is from RNAcentral.